Molecule: small nuclear RNA, 197 nt
Filed under: Sorghum bicolor (sorghum)
Lineage: Eukaryota; Viridiplantae; Streptophyta; Magnoliopsida; Poales; Poaceae
Description: snRNA U2
Rfam family: U2 spliceosomal RNA
About the family: U2 is a small nuclear RNA (snRNA) component of the spliceosome (involved in pre-mRNA splicing). Complementary binding between U2 snRNA (in an area lying towards the 5' end but 3' to hairpin I) and the branchpoint sequence (BPS) of the intron results the bulging out of an unpaired adenosine, on the BPS, which initiates a nucleophilic attack at the intronic 5' splice site, thus starting the first of two transesterification reactions that mediate splicing.
Source: Rfam by way of RNAcentral
AUACCUUUCUCGGCCUUUUGGCUAAGAUCAAGUGUAGUAUCUGUUCUUAUCAGUUUAAUAUCUGAUAUGUGGGAUAUGUGCCCACAAUGAUAUUAAAUUUAUUUUUUGUGGGGGAGAAUCUAAUAUGGUAGCUUGCUAUCAAGGUUCUCUUGUGUCGUCCUAGCGUUGCACUAUUGCUUGGGCCUGGCGCACCCCAA